RNAcentral lists this ribosomal RNA (468 nucleotides) under uncultured bacterium. Its description in RNAcentral is "partial 16S ribosomal RNA". It matches the Rfam family "Bacterial small subunit ribosomal RNA", at positions 28 to 507 of the family's 1533-position model. The record is from RNAcentral.
GACGAACGCUGGCGGCGUGCUUAACACAUGCAAGUCGAACGGAAAGGCCCUGCUUUUGUGGGGUGCUCGAGUGGCGCACGGGUGAGUAACACGUGAGUAACCUGCCCUUGACUUUGGGAUAACUUCAGGAAACUGGGGCUAAUACCGGAUAGGAGCUCCUGCUGCAUGGUGGGGGUUGGAAAGUUUCGGCGGUUGGGGAUGGACUCGCGGCUUAUCAGCUUGUUGGUGGGGUAGUGGCUUACCAAGGCUUUGACGGGUAGCCGGCCUGAGAGGGUGACCGGCCACAUUGGUACUGAGAGACGGCGCAGACUCCUACGGGAGGCAGCAGGGGGGAAUAUGGCACAAUGGGCGGAAGCCUGAUGCAGCAACGCCGCGUGCGGGAUGACGGCCUUCGGGUGGUAAACCGCUUUCGCCUGUGACGAAGCGUGAGUGACGGUAAUGGGUAAAGAAGCACCGGCUAACUACGUG